Long non-coding RNA from Cyprinus carpio (common carp), 715 nucleotides. RefSeq lists it as uncharacterized. The record is from RefSeq and is a predicted model, not a curated record. Lineage: Eukaryota; Metazoa; Chordata; Actinopteri; Cypriniformes; Cyprinidae. The transcript is spliced from 2 exons.
CACUAAAAAUAUCAGGAACACUCCAAAUGACGUUUAUCUUUUCGCUAUUCAUGUCAAAAUGACGCGUACGAGUAUUUUGUUCAUAAUGUAGCACUGCACACUCAUAUCCAAAGGACCUUGUUGUGCGUAUGAAUUGAAUUCAACGUUUCACUGUGUGAAUAACUAUUUCCGUGCUGCUUGCGCGUGUCCCGACCGACUUCAUGUGAGGAACAGCAGCCAAAAAUCGGACAUUGGCACUUUAAAUUCUGCCCCGGGUCAUUCAAAGCGCACAGCCACGCUCAAUGCUGAAGAAAGAGGAAGAGAGUUGAUGGAAUCUAAAGACCAAUGUAAAGAUAAUUUUGGAUGUCGCUCCAGUGAUAAAGUGGCACUGGUGAUCUGGAAGGAGACGGAGAGAAACGAGGGCUGACUUCCCAGAUGGAGAGUGUGAGCUCUGCCACUGUCCUCCACACCAACUAGAUGACUGCUUCACGUCGCCUUUGAGACACUGUGUGCAGCAUUUACUGUAUAAGGGUGAUUGUGUGUGUGUGUAAGGUGGAAGUGUUGCUGGUGAGGAUGGAAGAGUGAAAAAUAUUACCUUUUGCUUCUUUGCAUGCAACACAUUACUGCUUGUCUGACUCUACACAAUAAAAAUCACUAUGAUAAUUUCUUUUUUGUGUGAUUUUGUCUGUGUACUGCAUCGGGUCAAGUUGCAUAAUAAAUUGACACUUUAUAUACA